RNAcentral lists this ribosomal RNA (1488 nucleotides) under uncultured Bordetella sp. RNAcentral describes it as "partial 16S-23S ribosomal RNA intergenic spacer". It matches the Rfam family "Bacterial small subunit ribosomal RNA". The record is from RNAcentral. Lineage: Bacteria; Pseudomonadati; Pseudomonadota; Betaproteobacteria; Burkholderiales; Alcaligenaceae.
AGUUCGAUCCGGCUCAGAUUGAACGCUGGCGGGAUGCUUUACACAUGCAAGUCUAACGGCAGCACGGACCGGUCUUGGUGGCGAGUGGCGAACGGGUGAGUAAUGUAUCGGAACGUGCCUAGUAGCGGGGGAUUUAAUCACGCGAUACUGAUGACUUUCGGACGUUGUUACAUGACUUCGGGGGAAAGCGGGGGACCUUCGGGCCUUGCACUAUUAGAGCGCUGAUAUCGGAUUAGCUAGUUGGUGGGUAACGGCUCACCAAGGCGACGAUCCGUAGCUGGUUUGAGAGGACGACCAGCCACAUUGGGAUCGAAAGACAUCAGCCCAGAUCACGGGAGGCAGUGAAUUUUGGACAAUGGGGAAACCCCUGAUCCAGCCAUCCUGCGUGUGCGAUGAAGGCCUUCGGGUUGUAAAGCACUUUCGGGCAGGAAGAAACGGCACGGGGAUACCCCUGUGCAACUGACGGUACUCUGGCAGUCACAUCACAACUACGUGCCAGCAGCCGCCGGUAAUACGUGUAGGUGCGUUAAUCGGAAUUACCGGGCGUAAAGCGUGCGCAGGCGGUUCGGAAAGAAAGAUGCGGAAACCCAGAGCUUAACUUUGGAACUGCAUUUUUAACUACCGAGCUAGAGUGUGUCAGGAGGGAGGUGGAAUUCCGCGUGUAGCAGUGAAAUGCGUAGAUAUGCGGAGGAACACCGAUGGCGAAGGCAGCCUCCUGGGAUAACACUGACGCUCAUGCACGAAAGCGCGGGAGCAAACAGUGGAUUAGAUACCUGUAGUCCACGUCCUAAACGAUGUCAACUUAUACUGUCGUCAGGCCUUCGGCCUUGGUAGCGCAGCUAACGCGUGAAGGACCGCCUGGGGAGUACGGUCGCAAGAUUAAACCGCAGCAUGAAUUGACGGGGACCCGCACAAGCGGUGGAUGAUGUGGAUUAAUUCGAUGCAACGCGAAAAACCUUACCUACUCCUUGACAUGUCUGGAAUCCCGAAGAGAUUUGGGAGUGCUCGCAAGAGAACCGAACACAGGUGCUGCAUGGCUGUCGUCAGCUCGUGUCGAGACGUUGGGUUAAGUCCCGCAACGAGCGCAACCUCCCUUGUCAUUCUUGAAGUUGCUACGAAAGGGCACUCUAAUGAGACUGCCGGCAGACAAACCGGAGGAAGGUGGGGAUGACGUCAAGUCCUCAUGGCCCUUGCGGUAGGGCUUCACACGUCAUACAAUGGUCGGGACAGAGGGUCGCCAACCCGCGAGGAGCCAAUCCCACGAAACCCGAUCGUAGUCCGGAUCGCAGUCUGCAACUCGACUGCGUGAAGUCGGAAUCACAUGCCGGUAAUCGCGGAUCAGCAUGUCGCGGUGAACAUGUUCCCGGGUCUUGUACACACCGCCCGUCACACCAUGGGAGUGGGUUUUACCAGAAGUAGUUAGCCUAACCGUAAGGAGGGCGAUUACCACGGUAGGAUUCAUGAUCAGGGUGAAGUCGUAACAAGGUA